Molecule: long non-coding RNA, 2279 nt
Filed under: Hordeum vulgare
Lineage: Eukaryota; Viridiplantae; Streptophyta; Magnoliopsida; Poales; Poaceae
Description: long non-coding RNA (HVUL_LNC019480)
Source: RNAcentral
CACACAAGGACCUCACAUUCUUUUCCUAUUUCUGUCAUCUUUUGCCCUACAGAUGACACAUAAUAGAACAUGAUUUUAGACAAUAGUGGAGGCAAAUCACUAAACUUUAUAUGAAUCAAAAUUCACAUGUGAAACUAUCGAUUAGACAAGUGGUCCAAGUCGUUUCUUUGUACACUCGCGAACUAGGUCACCACCAUGAACCAGGCCGCAUGUGCGCACCUACACUGGCACAUGCGCUCCCUUCCAGUCCGUACAAGCCUAAGCCGUUCCUAAACAACCCCAAAAUUAUCCAAACUCAAACAAGCCGACAUAAACUUGUUCAAACUAGAUAGAUCUAAUGGGAAAUCGCAGGUUUGGAGGAGAAAAUUUUGAGAAUCAACGAUGAAGCUUACCUGGUAGGUCGCCUCGACUGUAGAGUACCUCCUCUCGAAGGCCAUGGCGACAGGAGGCGAAUCUAGGCCGGAGACAUGGUCGCGCGAGGCAGAAGAGUUGCUGGCUCAAGGCUGGUCAGGGCUGGAGGUCGUGGUCGCUCGAGGUAGGUUGGAGACUCGGGCGGUGGCGACGCAAGGCAACUCGAGGACGGCACAUACGACGACGCAACCAACUCGGCUAACAAGGCAACGGCAUGUGUCUUUGUUUCGCUGAGGGUAUAUGUGGUGUGAGUGGGAGAGGAUAUGGGAGAUUGGCGGAGCACGGAGUCCUAGCGAAAAAUUUGUUGGCGGGUGGUGCCACACGCGCGUGGUUGGAAAUUAGUGGGUCAGCUACGAAAAACGUGGACACUUUUUACAUCACAAACACUUACCGACACACGAUCUAAUGGUAAAGAAACCUAUGUCGACACAUUGUACGUCCACAAACCAUUAUGCAAUGCCGACAGAUAAAUUGUCAGAAGUAUAGAGUAACAUCAGUAAUCAGUGUGUCGGUAUAGUUUGUGACAAAAAGAAUGUCAGCGAUGCACACUUUUGCUGACAGAUGCAUGUUGCCCUUGUCGUGUCAUGGUGUAGUGCAUAUAUACAACACGAUUUGCAGUUUGUCAACUUUGUAACAAUUUGGUUGCAAUUAAACUAAGCAUCACAUAUUUGGGUAUCUAGAGACAAGAGCUAUCUAGGGCGUGUUUGGUUCCCGCAUUAGGCCGAACCACAUCGAGCUGGGCCAAAAAUAUUAUGGUUAGUUGCAUGUGGGGUGCGCUGGCUCGCAUCAACACGAACCUUAAAACAACACAGAGCCUGCUUUGCUGGAAACUCUCGAAUUGGUAGUUUCUGAAAGUGCUAGUUGUCGACUAGAGGGGAGGGGAGGGGGAGGGUGAAUAGGCAAUUGUUAUGAAAAACUUCAAACAGUAAAUGUGUUCGAAGUAAGGGGAAACGAAUGAGGAUGAGAUAGGGAUAACACUCAAAGAUCUAGGCAGGGCAUGCUGAGUGAUGAAGACAUUCAAACAACUAAAUCGUAGUCAUCAUACAAACAAAAGCAUAUCGAUUAUAAAUUAGAGCACUACAAAGACAAAUGCAGAUUGGAUGAAUGUAUUUGAUGAAAGUCUUCACACACAAGCAAUGACUUCAUAGUGCAUAAUUGUAAGUAAGGAGUGGAAGGAUAGAACCAGCUACUUGAUGAAGACUCACGAUUUGUUGGACCAGUUUCAGUUGCUGUGACAACUGUACGUAGGGAGGAUGAGAUUCAAACUGAGAAAACCUCAUCUUCACCUUGUUCCCGUUGAGCCAAGGUCACUUAGACCUCUCCCAAUCACUCAAGUAAAUCUUCGGGGUAGACUUUGGAAACCCGUACAAAUUCGAUCAUGUGGCGAUCCACAAUGAUUCUUGGAUGUUGUAGACCAUGACGCCUAACCGUCUGAAAGAUCACAGUCUUCAAGUGUAACAAGUCUUCUGUUCACUCAGAAUAGAAUAACUCCCGUAAUGCUCAAACACUCUGGCUCUAGGUGUUUUGUUUAUCCUUGCAAGAUAGCUCCCUCUCAAUGUCUACGAGCUGGGUUGCUCCAAAAUGAAAAUAACUGUAUCUAACUCUGAAUAAUCACCAACUUAUGGUGGACGGGGUUGGCUAUUUAUAGCCAAUCAACAACCCGACACGAUACGACCAAAACUGAUGAGGAAUCAAUAUCACCGUUACACCCACAACCCCUGUCGCUAUACAUAGUGGACCAAUCACUAGAGCUCGUGCAUGCCAGUUGAAUUACCAAGUACUUUCGUUUCAUGGAAAUCCUUCUAAUGUUCAUGGACUUAUGAUGCUGCCUAAAUUAGAUACUUUUGUUUUAUUUAUGAAUGAAGGAC